RNAcentral lists this transfer RNA (87 nucleotides) under Sphaerobolus stellatus SS14. RNAcentral's name for it is "tRNA-Leu (CAA) (tRNA-Leu-CAA-17-1)". It matches the Rfam family "tRNA". Rfam says of the family: Transfer RNA (tRNA) molecules are approximately 80 nucleotides in length. Their secondary structure includes four short double-helical elements and three loops (D, anti-codon, and T loops). The record is from RNAcentral. Lineage: Eukaryota; Fungi; Basidiomycota; Agaricomycetes; Geastrales; Sphaerobolaceae.
GGCAUCAUGUCCGAGCGGUCCACUGAGGUGUGUGACUCAAGUUCUCAUCUGUAUAUGCAGGCAGGGGUUCGAACCCCCUCGAUGUCA